UGGCUGAGUGGUAAAGCGCUUGGCUUCCGAACCGAGGGUCCCUGGUUCGAAUCCUGG
This is a non-coding RNA of Biomphalaria glabrata, 57 nucleotides long. The record is from Rfam. NCBI's taxonomy places the organism in Eukaryota, Metazoa, Mollusca, Gastropoda, Planorbidae.